AGAGUUUGAUCCUGGCUCAGGACGAACGCUGGCGGCGUGCCUAACACAUGCAAGUCGAACGGGGUAAAGACUUCGGUUUUUACUUAGUGGCGAACGGGUGAGUAACGCGUGAGAAACCUGCCUUUCAGUGGGGGACAACAGUUGGAAACGACUGCUAAUACCGCAUAAUGUUAUUUGGGGGCAUCCCCGGAUAACCAAAGAUUUAUUGCUGAAAGAUGGUCUCGCGUCUGAUUAGCUAGUUGGUGAGGUAACGGCUCACCAAGGCGACGAUCAGUAGCCGGUCUGAGAGGAUGAACGGCCACAUUGGGACUGAGAUACGGCCCAGACUCCUACGGGAGGCAGCAGUGGGGAAUAUUGGGCAAUGGGGGAAACCCUGACCCAGCAACGCCGCGUGAAGGAAGAAGGCCUUCGGGUUGUAAACUUCUUUUACCAGGGACGAACAAAUGACGGUACCUGGAGAAAAAGCAACGGCUAACUACGUGCCAGCAGCCGCGGU
RNAcentral lists this ribosomal RNA (496 nucleotides) under uncultured bacterium. Its description in RNAcentral is "bacterial SSU rRNA". It matches the Rfam family "Bacterial small subunit ribosomal RNA", at positions 8 to 521 of the family's 1533-position model. The record is from RNAcentral.